GUGGAGCACAGACAGCAUCAUGUCUGGCUGGGGAUGGGGUACACACAGCUGAUCCCCUGGGCAGGGUCUGCACACAGAGGCCCUGGUACCUGCGGGGUGCUGGGGAGUCAAUGCUGAAUCAAAACAUUGCCAUUUCCCAAUUAGCAGGAACAAGCUGCCGUGCCAGGCUGGAAAAGCAGCAGAAAUGGGGAUGCCCAAGUCCAAAACCUGGAGCAGCUCCUGCUUGGUGCAAAAGGCUAGAAAAGCAGCCUUAUUCUUAGCAUAUUCUUCCCCUUGCCACCCAAAAGCAGCAGAUCCACGCAUUCAGUCGUUUCACCACUUGGUGUUUGCCGCAGCACAUGGCGCUCUGCAUCUAGCAACAACUGCCAGCAAAAACACAGCGUGCUGCUGCUCCCCCCACUGUGACCCCACAGCCGCAGCUCACGCUGACACAAAUCCUUUUCAGGAGGUGACCCAGCAGCAGCACCCGGCCAUGGCAGCACCACGCAGGGGAGCACAGCUCCGGCAGAUUGAUGGAGAAACUAUUAGAGGCACAAAGACCUGCUGGGUCACACUGGGAGCUGCAGGUACCACAGAACUGUUAAAAUUGGUACACAAGUGAGAAUUCUUGGAAAAGGAAUGAAGGAAAGAAAACACGUCGAUUAUGUACAUCACUGCAGAAAACAGAAAUGAGAUCCUGCAGGAGGGUGAGGGAAUGAGUAUGAACUCUUAAGUCAACGACGUAUCCUUCAAAGGGGUAAAAGCAAUUUAUUAGAAGAUCACAUACACAAAAACAUGGACAGUUCUUGUUGGUGGGAGAUGAACACAGCAAAAACUAAAGAAAAUACCUCCAGGAAUCAACCCUUUCAGAAUGGCUUUAGAAAGAACAUGAAGAUGAAAUGGCAAAAAAAAAAGGCGCAUUUUUUACAGUCCACGGACAGUCCAAGACCCAUGAACAUUUAUAGAUUCUCCAGGAGCUUUGAAGCUCUGCCAUAUUGCAACAUCUUGACCUCAGUUGUCUCAAGCUCACUCUCAAAGGCAGGCGAACCAAAGGCAGUGACCGUCAAUGAGACUGCAACAUGACUCGUAGCAAUUACUCAAAUCACAGGGUUCAGUGAUCAAAUCUGACCAAAGCUCAGUUCAGCUUAGCCUGUGAAACCAUGAGGAAU
RNAcentral lists this long non-coding RNA (1148 nucleotides) under Anser brachyrhynchus (Pink-footed goose). RNAcentral's name for it is "lncRNA (ENSABRG00000021610.1)". The record is from RNAcentral. Lineage: Eukaryota; Metazoa; Chordata; Aves; Anseriformes; Anatidae.